AGGACGAACGCUGGCGGCGUGCCUAACACAUGCAAGUCGAACGAGGUUCAUCCGGUAGCAAUACCGGAGAAGACCAAGUGGCGAACGGGUGAGUAGCACGUGAGCAACCUGCCCCGAAGACCGGGACAACACCGGGAAACCGGUGCUAAUACCGGAUAUCCCCACCGAGUCGCAUGGCUUGGUGAGGAAAUGGAUUCCGCUUCGGGAGGGGCUCGCGGCCUAUCAGCUUGUUGGUGAGGUAACGGCUCACCAAGGCUUCGACGGGUAGCUGGUCUGAGAGGACGAUCAGCCACACUGGGACUGAGACACGGCCCAGACUCCUACGGGAGGCAGCAGUGGGGAAUCUUGCACAAUGGGCGAAAGCCUGAUGCAGCAACGCCGCGUGAGGGACGAAGGCUUUCUGAGUUGUAAACCUCUUUCAGCAGGGACGAUUGUGACGGUACCUGCAGAAGACGCCCGGACAACUACGCGCCAGCAGCCGCGGU
RNAcentral lists this ribosomal RNA (485 nucleotides) under uncultured bacterium. Its description in RNAcentral is "SSU rRNA". It matches the Rfam family "Bacterial small subunit ribosomal RNA", at positions 26 to 521 of the family's 1533-position model. The record is from RNAcentral.